RNAcentral lists this ribosomal RNA (776 nucleotides) under uncultured bacterium. Its description in RNAcentral is "bacterial SSU rRNA". It matches the Rfam family "Bacterial small subunit ribosomal RNA", at positions 8 to 796 of the family's 1533-position model. The record is from RNAcentral.
AGAGUUUGAUCAUGGCUCAGGACGAACGCUGGCGGCGUGCCUAACACAUGCAAGUCGCACGGGACCCGCAAGGNNCCGUGGCGGACGGGUGCGUAACACGUGAGGAACAUGCCUAUCGGCGGGGGAUAGCCGGCCCAACGGCCGGGUAAUACCGCGUACGCUCAUCGGGGGGCAUCCCCUGGUGAGGAAAGCAGCAAUGCGCCGAUAGAGUGCCUCGCGGCCUAUCAGCUAGUUGGUGAGGUAACGGCUCACCAAGGCAACGACGGGUAGCUGGUCUGAGAGGAUGAUCAGCCACAUUGGGACUGAGACACGGCCCAGACUCCUACGGGAGGCAGCAGUGGGGAAUCUUGCGCAAUGGCCGAAAGGCUGACGCAGCGACGCCGCGUGUGGGAUGACGGCCUUCGGGUUGUAAACCACUGUCGGAAGGGACGAAUGGCCCGCAAGGGCAGUGACGGUACCUUCAAAGGAAGCACCGGCUAACUCCGUGCCAGCAGCCGCGGUAAUACGGAGGGUGCGAGCGUUGUCCGGAAUCACUGGGCGUAAAGGGCGCGUAGGCGGCCCGGUAAGUAGGGGGUGAAAUCUUGCGGCUUAACCGCAAGGCUGCCUUCUAGACUGCCAGGCUCGAGCACAGUAGAGGCAGGUGGAAUUCCCGGUGUAGCGGUGGAAUGCGUAGAGAUCGGGAAGAACAUCAGUGGCGAAGGCGGCCUGCUGGACUGUAGCUGACGCUGAGGCGCGACAGCGUGGGGAGCAAACAGGAUUAGAUACCCUAGUAGUCC